ACCGAAAGGUUGGUAGAGGAGCAUUGCAUGCGGAACGAAGCAGUACCGAAAGGAGCUGUGGACUGCAUGGAAGAGAGAAUGCCGGAAUGAGUAGCGAGAUAGAGGUGGGAAUCCUCUAGGCCGAAUAUCCAAGGUUUCCAGAGUAAAGCUGAUCUGCUCUGGGUAAGUCGGGGCCUAAGGCGAGGACGAGAGUCGUAGCCGAUGGACAACAGGUGGAGAUUCCUGUACUGCGGUAUGACAGAACUGUGGGGACACGUAAGGAAAGCGGAAGCCGGGAAUGGAAAGCCCGGUGCAAGCGGGGUACCAGUCACUUUGGCAAAUCCGGGUGGCAAUGGGAAGCCGUGAUGCGGAGCGAAAUAAAGUAGCGAAGUCCGUGAGCCAUGCGUCAAGAAAAGCCGCUAUUGUUUAUACCGUACCCGUACCGUAAACCGACACAGGUGGAUGAGGAGAGAAUCCUAAGGCCGGCGGAAGAAGCAUUGUCAAGGAACUCGGCAAAAUGGCCCCGUAACUUAGGGAUAAGGGGUGCCUGGGAAACCAGGCCGCAGAGAAUAGGCUCAAGCAACUGUUUAGCAAAAACACAGGUCUAUGCGAAACCGAAAGGUGAGGUAUAUGCUGACGCCUGCCCGGUGCUGGAAGGUUAAGAGG
Molecule: ribosomal RNA, 645 nt
Filed under: Ruminococcus sp. AF25-23LB
Lineage: Bacteria; Bacillati; Bacillota; Clostridia; Eubacteriales; Oscillospiraceae
Description: partial 23S ribosomal RNA
Rfam family: Bacterial large subunit ribosomal RNA
Source: RNAcentral